CCGUGAUAGUAAAGGAUGUUUUAGCCUUUUAGGCUUUUGUCCAGGCACAAAGAUGAACCCAUCAAAUUUUAGGGCCAUAGGAAAAAAAAUGUUUCAAUUUGGUCUUAUAAAAUUCUCAAAACAAAAACCCAUCAAGGCUUUGGGCAUUUGCAGUUUUCUUUUUCUUUUUUUCUCCAAUGACAGUACUUUGGUCAUCUUCUUCAAUUUCACCACCACUUCCCUCCCUUCAACCUCCAAUACCCUCCACAAUCACCUCAAAAUGCUCAAUCUCCAAUCCCUAUAUCCCCAAAACCUUUAGACUAGGCUUCCCAUAUUUGACCCAUCAACCCCUUUGCUGUUCUUACUCCACUUCUCAAUCAGAACCUUCUACUUCUCCUUCCACUGGGGUUUUCAUCAAAGGAUUGCCUCAGUCAACAGCUGAAGGACGUCUCAAGAAAGUGUUUUCACAGUUUGGGGAGGUUAAACAAGUCCAUGUUGUGAGGGAAAGAGUAUCCAAGCAGUCUCUAGGAUCCGCUUUCGUUUGGUUCGAUAACGAAGAGUCUGUGCAACUAGCCGUUAACGAGUUGAAUGGGAAGUUUUUUGAUGGCAGGUUCGUUUCGGUUAAAAUUGCUGUACCUGGAUUGUCGAAGAAACGGGGAAGGACAACACAGUACAAGUUCUAAACUUUCCAUGGAUCAUUUUGUGCCGACAAAAUAGCAAAAUGGCCUUGAUUUAUUGACAGAUAUGGAUAGCAUCGACAGCCUCUUGACGAUGGAUGGAGUGUCCUGGUAGGUUGGGUUCAGAGAUUUAACCUGUGGUUGGGGAUUUGUUGUUUGCUUUGCAUUUUCAUUGUAAGCUUGGUUACAAUGGGACUGUUCUCGUAAUGUUCUAUGCUGGCUUUGGCUACCAAUAUUAUGCGCCUACGCAUAAAUCAUCCUAUUUUGGGUAGCUUGCUCAGCUCAACUUGGCCUGACCUAGGCAAAAAGUUCUGGUAAAAUCACCUCUCUGGUCCUCAAUUUCGAAUUUGCCCAUUGUUAGCUUAUAAUUUAUUGAAGUAUUCGAAAUCUAAUGACCUUAAGUGUAAUUUACCCUAAAAAUUUACCUUUUCAGUCAUUGUAAGUUACAAAAUGAUUAUUGAAGUAUUCGAAAGUUUUCAUUUAAGUCAAUAGGCUGUUAAAAUCACUGCUAUAACUGCUUGUACCGAUCG
RNA transcript from Gossypium raimondii (Peruvian cotton), 1186 nucleotides. It is a transcript of the gene named organelle RRM domain-containing protein 2, mitochondrial, with no coding region annotated. The transcript is spliced from 5 exons. The record is from RefSeq and is a predicted model, not a curated record. Lineage: Eukaryota; Viridiplantae; Streptophyta; Magnoliopsida; Malvales; Malvaceae.